This 639-nucleotide ribosomal RNA is filed under the name uncultured bacterium. RNAcentral describes it as "bacterial SSU rRNA". It matches the Rfam family "Bacterial small subunit ribosomal RNA", at positions 232 to 885 of the family's 1533-position model. The record is from RNAcentral.
CGCGGCCUAUCAGCUUGUUGGUGGGGUAACGGCUCACCAAGGCAUCGACGGGUAGCUGGUCUGAGAGGACGAUCAGCCACACUGGGACUGAGACACGGCCCAGACUCCUGCGGGAGGCAGCAGUGGGGAAUCUUGCGCAAUGGGCGAAAGCCUGACGCAGCAACGCCGCGUGGGGGAUGAAGGCUCUCGGGUUGUAAACCCCUUUCAUCAGGGACGAAAUUGACGGUACCUGAAGAAGAAGCCCCGGCCAACUACGUGCCAGCAGCCGCGGUGACACGUAGGGGGCGAGCGUUGUCCGGAUUUAUUGGGCGUAAAGAGCUCGUAGGCGGUUGCGUAAGUCGGAUGUGAAAACUCAGGGCUCAACCCUGAGCCGCCAUUCGAUACUGCGCUGACUAGAGUCCGGUAGGGGAGCAUGGAAUUCCUGGUGUAGCGGUGAAAUGCGCAGAUAUCAGGAGGAGCACCAGUAGCGAAGGCGGUGCUCUGGGCCGGUACUGACGCUGAGGAGCGAAAGCAUGGGUAGCAAACAGGAUUAGAUACCCUGGUAGUCCAUGCCGUAAACGUUGGGUACUAGGUGUGGGACCUACUUAACGGGUUCCGUGCCGUAGCUAACGCAUUAAGUGCCCCGCCUGGGGAGUACGG